RNAcentral lists this ribosomal RNA (484 nucleotides) under uncultured bacterium. RNAcentral's name for it is "partial 16S ribosomal RNA". It matches the Rfam family "Bacterial small subunit ribosomal RNA", at positions 30 to 507 of the family's 1533-position model. The record is from RNAcentral.
AUUGAACGCUGGCGGAAUGCUUUUCACAUGCAAGUCGAGCGGCAGCGCGGCCUUCGGGCUGGCGGCGAGCGGCGAACGGGUGAGUAAUGCAUCGGAACAUGCCCAGUCGUGGGGGAUAACACUUCGAAAGAAGUGCUAAUACCGCAUACGUCCUGAGGGGGAAAGCGGGGGAUCGCAAGACCUCGCGCGAUUGGAGUGGCCGAUGUCAGAUUAGCUAGUUGGUGGGGUAAAGGCCUACCAAGGCGACGAUCUGUAGCUGGUCUGAGAGGAUGAUCAGCCACACUGGGACUGAGACACGGCCCAGACUCCUACGGGAGGCAGCAGUGGGGAAUUUUGGACAAUGGGGGCAACCCUGAUCCAGCCAUUCCGCGUGAGUGAAGAAGGCCUUCGGGUUGUAAAGCUCUUUCGGCAGGAACGAAACGGUGGGCUCUAACAUAGUCCGCUAAUGACGGUACCUGAAGAAGAAGCACCGGCUAACUACGUG